This 221-nucleotide long non-coding RNA is filed under the name Carica papaya (papaya). RNAcentral describes it as "long non-coding RNA (CPAP_LNC004846)". Lineage: Eukaryota; Viridiplantae; Streptophyta; Magnoliopsida; Brassicales; Caricaceae. The record is from RNAcentral.
UGUCUUUUUUCAUACCAUUCCACCAAAAUUGGGGUCUCAAAUUUUGAUACAUUUUAGUAUUGCCCGGAUGCAUGGUGAAUUUGGAGUAAUGAGCCUUAGUCAAAAUACCUUUCUUUAGUUCAUCAUUAUUGGGAACACACACUCUGUCGUUAAAUCUGAGUAACCCAUCAUCCGACACUCUGAACUCUAGCUUUAAAUCGUGCUCUGCGUCCUUCUUAACG